AGAAUAGUUCACAAUGGGGGCAACCCUGAUGGUGCAACGCCGCGUGGAGGAUGACGGUCUUCGGAUUGUAAACUCCUGUCAUCUGGGAGUAAGGCAUGGUUGUUAAUAGCAAACAUGAUUGAUAGUACCAGAAGCGGCAGAGACGGCUAACUUCGUGCCAGCAGCCGCGGUAAUACGAAGGUCCCAAGCGUUGUUCGGAAUCACUGGGCGUAAAGGGAGCGUAGGCGGCGUGGUAAGUCAUAUGUGAAAUCCCGGGGCUCAACCCCGGAACUGCAUCCGAUACUGCCAUGCUAGAGGAUUUGAGAGUUAGCUGGAAUUCUUGGUGUAGCAGUGAAAUGCGUAGAGAUCAAGAGGAACACUCGUGGCGAAAGCGAGCUACUGGACAAUUCCUGACGCUGAGGCUCGAAGGCUAGGGUAGCGAAA
This 423-nucleotide ribosomal RNA is filed under the name uncultured bacterium. RNAcentral describes it as "bacterial SSU rRNA". It matches the Rfam family "Bacterial small subunit ribosomal RNA", at positions 358 to 773 of the family's 1533-position model. The record is from RNAcentral.